RNAcentral lists this ribosomal RNA (497 nucleotides) under uncultured bacterium. Its description in RNAcentral is "partial 16S ribosomal RNA". It matches the Rfam family "Bacterial small subunit ribosomal RNA", at positions 28 to 507 of the family's 1533-position model. The record is from RNAcentral.
GAUGAACGCUGGCGGCGUGCCUAAUACAUGCAAGUCGAGCGAACAGACGAGGAUCUUGCUCCUCUGACGUCAGCGGCGGACGGGUGAGUAACACGUGGAUAACCUACCUAUAAUACUGGGAUAACUUCGGGAAACCGGAGCUAAUACCGGAUAAUAUAUUGAACCGCAUGGUUCAAUAGUGAAAGACGGUUUUGCUGUCACUUAUAGAUGGAUCCGCGCCGCAUGAGCUAGUUGGGAAGGUAACGGCUUACCAAGGCGACGAUGCGUAGCCGACCUGAGAGGGUGAUAGGCCACACUGGAACGGAGACACGGUCCAGACUACUACGGGAGGCAGCAGUAGGGAAUCUGCCGCAAUGGGCGAAAGCCUGACGGAGCAACGCCGCGUGAGUGAUGAAGGUCUUCGGAUCGUGAAACUCGGUUAUUAGGGAAGAACAAAUGUGUAAGUAAAUAUGCACGUCUUGACGGUACCUAAUCAGAAAGCCACGGCUAACUACGUG